Molecule: long non-coding RNA, 948 nt
Filed under: Cairina moschata (Muscovy duck)
Lineage: Eukaryota; Metazoa; Chordata; Aves; Anseriformes; Anatidae
Description: domestica (muscovy Duck (domestic type)) lncRNA (ENSCMMG00000000998.1)
Source: RNAcentral
UUAGGAGCGGGUGACAGAUGCGCAAGGUGCCCUGAGGGCUUGGAGAGAGGCUAGUCAGGCAUAAAUACCACAGCAGGCUGUGCAGGCAGUUUAUGCUGCAGGAUGUGGAAGCUGGAGAAGUCUGGGGAAAGUGGAAAUGAGAACUGGGGAAGAGGAUUGUAUUCAGAUCCUGCUUAGUAAAAGGGAGGAAGGUAGCAGAUAUAUUUUUAAGAAGGUAAAUGAUGCAUAGCAGGGAUUUAGAGCUUUGAUUUCAGGAGAAAGAACUAGUAUAGCAGUGAUGUAUGUAUGGGGAAAAUGCCCUGGGCUCUAGAUUGCGUGUUAGGAAAUAAGUCUUGAGCUAAAGAUACGUAAGGUUUAUUGUAGAAAUGUGAGGUUUUAGGCCAUAUGGAUAUUGUCUCACAGACCCUACUGUUACUGAUGCCUUUGCUAGUCACCCCGCAGGUAGCAGAGGAUUGUAGCAGCAUUCCCAGUCAGCCUGAGGUCGUGUUGGGCACAGAGGGCAGCACGGGACAGGACGCAGCAGCCAUCCGCAUGGAGCUCCCGGCUCUGCAGAAGCUGUCUAGCGCUGUCCGGAUCUGUGUGUGGGGGGUGUUUCUUCCCCCGAAGUUUUCCUGGAACCGGGCACGGGACGGAGCCGCCUCCCGCCUGGGGGACGGGGACAGCCGCGGGCCGCCGGCGCCACCUCCUGGGAGCGCUGAGUAUCGCGGAGGCCUCCGCCUCACAAAGUACUGUUCAUACUGCCUGUGCUAUAACUUUCAUCUCCAUCCCUGGCUUUGAUUUGCAUACUCUAGUAACAUGAGGUUUAUCAAGCUGCUAAAAUGCAGAGACUUGGAAAGGUUGGCUUUCCUCCGUAUACUUUUCCAAGUCAGGCGGACAGAAUUCUUCAGCAGUACUUCAAUGAAUGAGGUGAGAUACCGCAUCAUUGGCUUAUUCACAUUACAGUAUCUG